RNAcentral lists this ribosomal RNA (253 nucleotides) under uncultured bacterium. RNAcentral describes it as "partial 16S ribosomal RNA". It matches the Rfam family "Bacterial small subunit ribosomal RNA", at positions 524 to 776 of the family's 1533-position model. The record is from RNAcentral.
UACGGAGGGUGCGAGCGUUGUCCGGAUUUAUUGGGUUUAAAGGGUGCGUAGGUGGCUGUUUAAGUCAGUGGUGAAAUACGGUUGCUCAACAAUCGAGGUGCCAUUGAUACUGAAUAGCUUGAAAUAAUUGGAGGCUACCGGAAUGGAUGGUGUAGCGGUGAAAUGCAUAGAUAUCAUCCAGAACACCGAUUGCGAAGGCAGGUGGCUACGAUUGGUUUGACACUGAGGCACGAAAGCAUGGGGAGCAAACAGG